Molecule: long non-coding RNA, 3087 nt
Organism: Strigops habroptila (Kakapo)
Lineage: Eukaryota; Metazoa; Chordata; Aves; Psittaciformes; Psittacidae
Source: Ensembl
GGGCACUGUCCUGGGAAACAGGAGAUCCAGUUUUAGUCUCAGGUUCCAGUUUUAGUCUCAAUCCGAUGGAAGUGGGAGCUUGCUUGUGUGCAGCAGGGUUGGUGCAUGGUAAACCUGCUCUGCACACUUCAGCGUAGCGAUGAGGACAAACUGCCUCAGAUCCCCUCACACCUUCCACAGAUAACAGCACGCGCGAUGGCAGCUCCUGCAGCACAGCUUCUUACCGUGUCACCACCAUCUGUUCUCUUCCUCUUCAGUGACCCAGCUCAGGGAGCUGAUUCGGCUGGGAACUCAUCGUUUUUGUUGGUCAGGACAGCUUUCCUUUCAAUCGCAUCCUUGACACGGCAUAAUUCAUGGCUGCACAAGCAUUGCUGCUGCAAGCUGCGUGUUGUGGGGAUGGUGUGAAGAGCUCAAAUGUUACACAGCUCACAUCGGGCUAAGCUGUCAAGAAAUGGCGUUUUAAAUCCUGAUAAAACGUCUGAAAGUGAAUAUUAAAAGGAAACAUUAGCACGAAGACUUUUAUCUGUGUCUGACUGUGACAAGAGGUUUAUCAGAGCUGAUUGUUGGUCUAGAAGUACCACCUACUGCAGGUAACAAUCCUGCUUUUCAUAAAGUGGUGUUUUGCUAUUAGAGGGGAACCAGCAAUUCACUAGGUAAUAAUUAGGUAAAGAGUUAGCACUCUUUCCUUACAUUGCUUUGUUAUGUUAAACUAAGGAGGCAGUAACCAGUGAUUAAGUACAGAGAGGUUACUCCUCUUCUUUGUAACUCUUCUUUUGGGUUUCCAUGGGGCUGGAGCCUGUAGCUGUUACACAGAUCAGUGAGAGUGAAGAGGAGUCUUCACAGUGUGAAGAAAGACAGCACCAGACCCAGAUGUGCCAAAAAUUCAAUGCCCUUCCCUAUGCUGACAAAGGAAAUUCCACAAAUAGGUUCACCUUGCACUGAGGGGACCAUCUGUGGCAGAACCCAUGAUCUAACGCUGAUUAGAGCCUUAAUUGGAAGUAACACUGAUUGAUUGAAAUAGGUAAGUGCUGUAGCUAUGUGUAACUUUAGCUUAUUCUUGAGGUUUAUAGCAGAAACACACGAGUGUGUCAGCAGGCAAGCCUCAUUGAACUGUGUAAAAUAAAGCAGUACUUCCUAUGAGUGCAGGAGGGCGAGCUUUAAUAGUGAGCACAAAUUAAAGUACUGAUACUAAAGCUGCUGCUAAGGUGAAUGUUAAUUGUGUUACAUUAACACAAGCUCUUAAUGUGUAUGUCUCAUCCACAAAAGAAACUAUAAGAAAGGUACAUCCUAGAAAUCAUGUUUACUCACUCCUUAAGACUCCCCAUGAACGAGACCUUUGAUGGAAUCUUGGCUUUCAGUAGUUUGUGCCUUUUUUUCUACCUAGUCUUUCGUUGUGGAUAUAAAUAGUAAAACACUAAUUAUUCGUGCCAGUUCUUUGCUAAAUAACACUCAAUAUUUCUGUAAAUGGAUAUUAUUCCCAUAUGCUCUUAUGGAAUUACACUCGUAUUACCUAGGGGUAGAAGAACUGGGGUUUGGAACACUGAGAAAGAUUGCAAAGGAAACAGCUCUUUUCCCCUAAAUCCAGUUAUGGUAACGUGGAGACAUUUUAUGGCUAUUAUAUUGGGGGAAUAGAUGGAAUGAAUCAUACCAGGUUGUUUAGCUAAAAAUAAAUGUUGACCAGAAUAUCACUCCAGUACAUGUCAUUUGAGUGUACAGAAUUAUAAAAGCAUAAAGUAUACAGCAUAGUUAACUUCUGGCUUGAAAUAUUGCCAGUCUUUAACCAAAACAUGUGCAGCCUCUAGCAGGAACAUCAGCUUUGUAACAAGAGCUAUUAGCAAUAGAUAGGCUAACCGCUUAGAGGACAAGCAAAAAGUAGCUGCAUGCAAACCUAGAGUGGUGAAUUAGGAAACUGGGGGGUUUAAAGGCUACCGUGAGGUGUAGCCAAGGAUUUUACAGUGGGAAGUUUGGUCUCCAACAGAGCUAAACUGUGAAGUCCAGGAACAUGUGGCAGGUUUGUUUUCCACAGGCUGUAAGAAGCUAGAAUAAAAGGACUGUAAUGGUGGUUGAUUUUUCUUCUGUUUAGAAUUCCCUAUAGGAAGACCCAGGAAGAUAGACGUAGGUUCAGAAGUGUUUAGGCUUGUUUCCUUAUUUCAGUCUCACCCUGCAGCCCCAUUAAGACAAAAAGAGAAAGGGAAGAGACCACUGCGUUAUGUUUGCUGUGUUUGUACAUAGCUCACUACCAGAGAAUGUGUUAUAUUAAGACAAAGAAAGUAAAAUAAGGUAUCCUGAGUCUGUUUAACCAUGAACUGUGUUUCUGUGCUGUUCUAUUUCCAUUCCAGUGGUCAAGAAAAGGGAGAAUCCAUUUAAAAACUAGUGCUCGUAGCCUUGCAGCUUGUAACAUGAAAAGCGUAGUAAAAUAAGGCCAGGCCUGAUGAGAUUAAAGUGGACUGUCAUGAAACUUCUUUAAGAUGAUGACAGAGGUUGAAUUCCAAUGCCCUUGGGAUUUAUAGUUUGGGCUUAUUAUUCUGAUUAGGGCAGUCAACAGAGAGAGACUGCAAAUAUGUUUUCUCCUCCUGCAAUGAACUCAAAUCCUGAGGCAUGGCUGGAUGGGUUUCCAGCCGUGUGUUGGAGGCUCUGUGCAGCUGGAGGGCUUUUGUGUCUUCAAGGGUUAGUUAAAAUUGAAACUUCUUUAACUCCCAGCACUAUUUUGUUUUUAUUCCUAUGUUGCAGCCUCUCUUCUAUACCUUAAUGCACAAAUUCUUGGUUUGAGAUAUAAGUUCCUGAGUUUAAGCAAUGGAAAAUCUAUUGGGUUUUCUACCACCAACACUCACAGAGCAACAUUUUGGUUCAGGGUACACAAAAUCCAUAAAAAUAAGUGUUAGUUAAUGUUUUUUGUAAUGGGGGGUGGGAAUUCUUGCCUCCUGUAUUCCCUGAUGGGAAGACAGUCCGUGCCAGCAGCACUGCUGAGCUUUUUAGGGGUGCACAGGCUGCCCAUGAUAGGCUCUCACUGACUUGCCUCUGCGUGCAGAGCCAUAACAUGAGUGGAUUUGGGAUUAGAAAACCUAUCUCAUAAAGACAGUCUGUCCU